UACGGAGGAUGCAAGCGUUAUCCGGAAUGAUUGGGCGUAAAGGGUGCGUAGGUGGUUGGGUAAGUCUGAUGUGAAAUCUCCGGGCUCAACCCGGAAAUGGCAUUGGAUACUAUUCGGCUAGAGGUUUGGAGGGGGGACUGGAAUUCUCGGUGUAGCAGUGAAAUGCGUAGAUAUCGAGAGGAACACCAGUGGCGAAGGCGAGUCCCUGGACAACACCUGACACUGAGGCACGAAAGCUAGGGGAGCAAACAGG
RNAcentral lists this ribosomal RNA (253 nucleotides) under uncultured bacterium. RNAcentral describes it as "partial 16S ribosomal RNA". It matches the Rfam family "Bacterial small subunit ribosomal RNA", at positions 524 to 776 of the family's 1533-position model. The record is from RNAcentral.